RNAcentral lists this ribosomal RNA (719 nucleotides) under Vibrio parahaemolyticus. RNAcentral's name for it is "partial 23S ribosomal RNA". It matches the Rfam family "Bacterial large subunit ribosomal RNA", at positions 2230 to 2925 of the family's 2925-position model. The record is from RNAcentral. Lineage: Bacteria; Pseudomonadati; Pseudomonadota; Gammaproteobacteria; Vibrionales; Vibrionaceae.
GACCCCUAAUCGGGGUUGCGGACAGUGCCUGGUGGGUAGUUUGACUGGGGCGGUCUCCUCCCAAAGAGUAACGGAGGAGCACGAAGGUGGGCUAAUCACGGUUGGACAUCGUGAGGUUAGUGCAAUGGCAUAAGCCCGCUUGACUGCGAGAAUGACAAUUCGAGCAGGUGCGAAAGCAGGUCAUAGUGAUCCGGUGGUUCUGAAUGGAAGGGCCAUCGCUCAACGGAUAAAAGGUACUCCGGGGAUAACAGGCUGAUACCGCCCAAGAGUUCAUAUCGACGGCGGUGUUUGGCACCUCGAUGUCGGCUCAUCACAUCCUGGGGCUGAAGUCGGUCCCAAGGGUAUGGCUGUUCGCCAUUUAAAGUGGUACGCGAGCUGGGUUUAGAACGUCGUGAGACAGUUCGGUCCCUAUCUGCCGUGGGCGUUGGAAGAUUGAAGGGGGCUGCUCCUAGUACGAGAGGACCGGAGUGGACGAACCUCUGGUGUUCGGGUUGUGUCGCCAGACGCAUUGCCCGGUAGCUAAGUUCGGAAUCGAUAACCGCUGAAAGCAUCUAAGCGGGAAGCGAGCCCUGAGAUGAGUCUUCCCUGAUACUUUAAGUAUCCUAAAGGGUUGUCGGAGACUACGACGUUGAUAGGUCAGGUGUGUAAGUGCUGUGAGGCAUUGAGCUAACUGAUACUAAUUGCCCGUGAGGCUUAACCAUACAACACCCAAGGGGUUU